CGGGACGUGGCGCAGUCCGGUAGCGCACCUGAAUGGGGUUCAGGGGGUCGCCGGUUCAAAUCCGGCCGUCCCGA
Molecule: transfer RNA, 74 nt
Filed under: Gemmatimonas sp.
Lineage: Bacteria; Pseudomonadati; Gemmatimonadota; Gemmatimonadia; Gemmatimonadales; Gemmatimonadaceae
Also listed under: 2 other names
Rfam family: tRNA
About the family: Transfer RNA (tRNA) molecules are approximately 80 nucleotides in length. Their secondary structure includes four short double-helical elements and three loops (D, anti-codon, and T loops). Further hydrogen bonds mediate the characteristic L-shaped molecular structure. tRNAs have two regions of fundamental functional importance: the anti-codon, which is responsible for specific mRNA codon recognition, and the 3' end, to which the tRNAs corresponding amino acid is attached (by aminoacyl-tRNA synthetases). tRNAs cope with the degeneracy of the genetic code in two manners: having more than one tRNA (with a specific anti-codon) for a particular amino acid; and 'wobble' base-pairing, i.e. permitting non-standard base-pairing at the 3rd anti-codon position.
Source: Rfam by way of RNAcentral